AUACGGAGGACGCGAGCGUUAUCCGGAUUCAUUGGGUUUAAAGGGUGCGCAGGCGGCCGUGCAAGUCAGCGGUGAAAGCCCGGGGCUCAACCCCGGAAGUGCCGUUGAUACUGCAUGGCUGGAAUGCGGUCGAGGCGGGCGGAACGUGGCGUGUAGCGGUGAAAUGCGUAGAUAUGGCACAGAAAGCCGAUAGCGGAGGCAGCUCGCCAGGCCUGCAUUGACGCUCGGGCACGAAAGCGUGGGGAUCGAACAGGAUUAGAUACCCUGGUAGUCCACGCCGUAAACGAUGGGCGCUCGUCGUCGGCGGCAGACAGUCGGCGGCCAAGCGAAAGCGAUAAGCGCCCCACCUGGGGAGUACGGUCGCAAGGCUGAAACUUAAAGGAAUUGACGGGG
RNAcentral lists this ribosomal RNA (393 nucleotides) under uncultured bacterium. RNAcentral describes it as "partial 16S ribosomal RNA". It matches the Rfam family "Bacterial small subunit ribosomal RNA", at positions 523 to 918 of the family's 1533-position model. The record is from RNAcentral.